AAAGCCCUGCGGCGAAGGAUUAGCCAUCCACGUCGUCCCCGAGUCAUGCGGAGUCAGCGGUAACGGUGGCACCGAAGCGUUGACAGGGGUACGUACAGGCUGGGUAUUGAGCCCCGAAAUAAAGACUAAAAAUUCCGAGUGCCGACGUGCUUCAAGACUACGGAAGGCAAUAUUUCAUGCGCUGCCAUGGCGAGGCGUAUGCGGACUCGGCGGGGUCGGAGACCC
This is a non-coding RNA of Desulfobacterales bacterium S5133MH4, 225 nucleotides long. The record is from Rfam. NCBI's taxonomy places the organism in Bacteria, Pseudomonadati, Thermodesulfobacteriota, Desulfobacteria, Desulfobacterales.